CCUUCUCCCCACCCUGGCAGAAACCACUCACCUGCAUCUUUUGCUGGUGCUCCUCGGUGCCGCAGCGCCGCACUUUCUCCACCAGCCCCGAGAGCAGGUUUGAGCUACAAAUGCAGAUUUCGGAGCCAAAGGAGGAGUGGCACCAUUUUACCAUGCACUGCACUAACCCAUCAAUCCAAGAAGAAAGUUCUAGUACAGAUGGGAAUGUCCUUGUCACGGCCAUUUCACUUUCUGGGACAUCAACUUCAAGGUCUAGCAGUGAGUGACAGUCAUUUCCCAAUGAACACAUUUCCCUUCUGGGGAUUGAAAACACACACCCGAGCGUCCCCUGGUCUCAGAUUCCUGUUUAAGUGCUCCUGGCAUCUCCUUCCUUUCAGCACUCACUUCAGUUGGCAAUGGAUGCUCAAAUAACUCAGUUCCAGGGGACCAGUUUCAUGUGCUACUGAACUUCUCAGCCCUCAACUUCUCAACCUCCCUCCCCAGGGCUCCUUAUAUGAACCAUCAUGAGCAGGCCUGUCAGGCAGUCUGUCCUGCCCUGUGAGAUUCCCCAUGCCACCCCACCAGGCAGCCAAGAAUCCAUUAUGUUUGCAUUCCGCCAGCAUCCUUCAGCUCCCCACACCCAGGCGCCAAAACCAGAAGAUUUCUGCAAAUAUUAACAUUUCUGGCUGCCACUUGUUUGCCUGUUUAUCCUGAGCUGUGCAUGAAACCUCUCUGAUACUCCACACGCAGCAUGGGCUUGGCCAGAACAGCUUUGUCCUCUCAGCCUUCUCUGUGAUGGGUUGUGUGUCAGCCCCCAGCCCAGUGCUGGUCACUGUGUGCAGGAAGUCUGGAAUGCUCUUCUUCACUUGGAUCUCUGGUUCAGGGUGCUGAGCAUUCAUAGAUGUGCUAAGAUGCCCCUUCAGAGCCUGAAACAUUUGCAGAUUUUGAUUUUUAAUGUUUAUUUAGGUUUCUGACCUCAGCUCUCUAUAGGAGGGGUGUGGCAAAGGUCGUCAUGACCUCGGGCUGGGAAGGCUUGGCUACUCAGGAUGCUGGAGUUUUGUCCAUUAGCAUCCACAUUCCAGGCUGAGAACACAGUAGCCAUGAAAUCCAUGCCUGUGGUCACAUCACAUACUCAUAUUGCUUUUUCCUGGCUGGGCUGAGGCUGUUUGCUAUAUUCAUUACUUACAUUAGAGACACCUACAGAGCCCAGUUCUCUCCCUGAUGUCACAUAUGAAAGUCUUCAGUCCAUUCAGUGGAAAUGGAAAGAAUUAAUUUACCAUCACACAGCCUUCAAGAGCCAAGGGACGUUUCUGCAGAAGAUUCCACAAGAACAGUAUUUCUCAGUGCAGCAUUUCAUACACGGCACAGGCUAUUAGGCAUAAAUGUCCCCCUUGCUAUUUAUUUUACACUUUGCUAUCUGAGAAAGAUGCAGAUGUGCUCCAAAAUCUCAUUCAUUUUGGAGAAACUGAGACUCCACACUGCCUGCAGCUCAGCAGCCUCAGCCUGGAUGUACCUUCUGUGCUCCCAAGAGGAUUUAAAAGCAGCUCUUUACAACCUGGCUCUACUUCUCCUCCCUCCACAUUCUUACGUCCAUACACUGAAAGCUGGAGCCUGAGAAUCACCAAAGUGGUCACCAGAAACAAAAUGAAAGAAAUUCAGUUGCUGUUGAGUGAAAGAACCAUCUCCU
Long non-coding RNA from Cinclus cinclus, 1666 nucleotides. RefSeq lists it as uncharacterized. The transcript is spliced from 3 exons. The record is from RefSeq and is a predicted model, not a curated record. NCBI's taxonomy places the organism in Eukaryota, Metazoa, Chordata, Aves, Passeriformes, Cinclidae.